Molecule: ribosomal RNA, 324 nt
Filed under: uncultured eukaryote
Lineage: Eukaryota
Description: partial 18S ribosomal RNA
Rfam family: Eukaryotic small subunit ribosomal RNA
Source: RNAcentral
CCCUUAGAUGUUCUGGGCUGCACGCGCGCUACACUGAAGCUAUCAACACGUUUUCCCUCCCUGAGAAGGACGGGUAACCUUUUGAAUCAGCUUCGUGGUAGGGAUCGGGGCUUGCAAUUGUUCCCCGUGAACCAGGAAUUCCUAGUAGACGCGAGUCAUAAGCUCGCAUCGAUUAAGUCCCUGCCCUUUGUACACACCGCCCGUCGCUACUACCGAUUGAACGUUUUAGUGAGGCAUUUGGACCGACGCAUCUCAGUUUAACCGCUGGUUUGUGUUGGAAAGACUUCCAAACUUGAGCGUUUAGAGGAAGUGAAAGUCGUAACA